AGAGAGAGACAUGCGCGCAUAUCAAUAAGCGGAGGAAAAGAAACUAACAAGGAUUCCCUUAGUAACGGCGAGUGAAGCGGGAAGAGCUCAAAUUUGAAAUCUUCAAGGUUUUACCUUGACGAAUUGUAGUUUAAAGAAGUGUUUUCUGCUGAAGUUUUGGUAAAAGUUCUUUGGAAUAGGACAUCAUAGAGGGUGAGAAUCCCGUAUUUGACCAUUAUUUUCAGCUUUGUGAUACACUUUCAAAGAGUCGGAUUGUUUGGGAAUGCAGUCCAGAAUGGGUGGUAAAUUUCAUCUAAAGCUAAAUAUUGGCGAGAGACCGAUAGCGAACAAGUACCGUGAGGGAAAGAUGAAAAGAACUUUGAAAAGAGAGUUAAACAGUACGUGAAAUUGUCAAAAGAGAAGCGUUUGACACCAGUGUUGUUUUCUCGAAAAUCAAUUAAAAAUGGCUCGAUUUUGUAUUGCUUGAGACCUUAAAAGCUCACUGUACAUUUUUCGUGUCUUUUUUAAUGCACUUUUCGUUUAACAAGUCAACAUCAGUUUCUUUUGUUGUAAAAGGGUCAUUGGAAGGUGGCUUUCUUUUCGGAGAAAGUGUUUAUAGCCUUUGGCCUCUGCAAUCGAAGAGACUGAGGUCUGCAGCGUAGACUCUUCGGGGUUAGAUACAUUUGUGCUAAGUUAUAGCUUUUUAUAGACAACUUGUUGACUAUAAUUAGUCUUGUAGCUUACUCGCUUAUGCUAUUUUACCUACGCUUAGGAUGUUGAGUCGUAGAGCACGCAG
Molecule: ribosomal RNA, 775 nt
Filed under: uncultured Neocallimastigales
Lineage: Eukaryota; Fungi; Neocallimastigomycota; Neocallimastigomycetes; Neocallimastigales
Description: partial large subunit ribosomal RNA
Rfam family: Eukaryotic large subunit ribosomal RNA
Source: RNAcentral